AAAGGGAAAAGGGCCUUACCAUGCAAGUCGAGCGGUAGCACAGAGAGCUUGCUCUCGGGUGACGAGCGGCGGACGGGUGAGUAAUGUCUGGGAAACUGCCUGAUGGAGGGGGAUAACUACUGGAAACGGUAGCUAAUACCGCAUAACGUCGCAAGACCAAAGUGGGGGACCUUCGGGCCUCAUGCCAUCAGAUGUGCCCAGAUGGGAUUAGCUGGUAGGUGGGGUAACGGCUCACCUAGGCGACGAUCCCUAGCUGGUCUGAGAGGAUGACCAGCCACACUGGAACUGAGACACGGUCCAGACUCCUACGGGAGGCAGCAGUGGGGAAUAUUGCACAAUGGGCGCAAGCCUGAUGCAGCCAUGCCGCGUGUGUGAAGAAGGCCUUCGGGUUGUAAAGCACUUUCAGCGGGGAGGAAGGCGGUGAGGUUAAUAACCUUGUCGAUUGACGUUACCCGCAGAAGAAGCACCGGCUAACUCCGUGCCAGCAGCCGCGGUAAUACGGAGGGUGCAAGCGUUAAUCGGAAUUACUGGGCGUAAAGCGCACGCAGGCGGUCUGUCAAGUCGGAUGUGAAAUCCCCGGGCUCAACCUGGGAACUGCAUUCGAAACUGGCAGGCUAGAGUCUUGUAGAGGGGGGUAGAAUUCCAGGUGUAGCGGUGAAAUGCGUAGAGAUCUGGAGGAAUACCGGUGGCGAAGGCGGCCCCCUGGACAAAGACUGACGCUCAGGUGCGAAAGCGUGGGGAGCAAACAGGAUUAGAUACCCUGGUAGUCCACGCUGUAAACGAUGUCGAUUUGGAGGUUGUGCCCUUGAGGCGUGGCUUCCGGAGCUAACGCGUUAAAUCGACCGCCUGGGGAGUACGGCCGCAAGGUUAAAACUCAAAUGAAUUGACGGGGGCCCGCACAAGCGGUGGAGCAUGUGGUUUAAUUCGAUGCAACGCGAAGAACCUUACCUGGUCUUGACAUCCACAGAACUUAGCAGAGAUGCUUUGGUGCCUUCGGGAACUGUGAGACAGGUGCUGCAUGGCUGUCGUCAGCUCGUGUUGUGAAAUGUUGGGUUAAGUCCCGCAACGAGCGCAACCCUUAUCCUUUGUUGCCAGCGGUUAGGCCGGGAACUCAAAGGAGACUGCCAGUGAUAAACUGGAGGAAGGUGGGGAUGACGUCAAGUCAUCAUGGCCCUUACGACCAGGGCUACACACGUGCUACAAUGGCAUAUACAAAGAGAAGCGACCUCGCGAGAGCAAGCGGACCUCAUAAAGUAUGUCGUAGUCCGGAUUGGAGUCUGCAACUCGACUCCAUGAAGUCGGAAUCGCUAGUAAUCGUAGAUCAGAAUGCUACGGUGAAUACGUUCCCGGGCCUUGUACACACCGCCCGUCACACCAUGGGAGUGGGUUGCAAAAGAAGUAGGUAGCUUAACCUUCGGGAGGGCGCUACCACUUUGGUCAGGC
RNAcentral lists this ribosomal RNA (1443 nucleotides) under Klebsiella sp. EB2-THQ. Its description in RNAcentral is "bacterial SSU rRNA". It matches the Rfam family "Bacterial small subunit ribosomal RNA". Lineage: Bacteria; Pseudomonadati; Pseudomonadota; Gammaproteobacteria; Enterobacterales; Enterobacteriaceae. The record is from RNAcentral.